GGGGCUGAAUUAGCAGUAGACAAGAGAAAUUAACAAACUAGCAUGCAGGUCGUUUGACAACGAAAAAGUUUAAAUUAAUUGCAAAAUCUAAUUUUGUAGCAAAAGUUCAGAGCUUUUUUAAAGCUCCUGCUCUUGCAACAAUCGCUGCUUAAAUUAAGCGAUCAUUAGUCUUUGCUUUUCGGCGGUAGCUUAGACUGGUGUCAUAUUGACGUCGAUAGUUCGAAGGAAGGGCAGUUACCUUCGAAUGAAUUGUUUUCUGCAAACUCCAUUUAAUUUUUGUCUUUCUUUGAUGGAUGGAGAAAAUAAGAAAGAAUAAGCUUGUAGAUUGUUAGAUUGUUAUCUUUUGGACCCGAGGGCAGUUCUCGGCAGCUCCACCA
RNAcentral lists this transfer-messenger RNA (377 nucleotides) under bacterium. It matches the Rfam family "transfer-messenger RNA". Rfam says of the family: Bacterial tmRNA, also known as 10Sa RNA or SsrA, is named for its dual tRNA and mRNA-like properties. Its role is to liberate the mRNA from a stalled ribosome. To accomplish this part of the tmRNA is used as a reading frame that ends in a translation stop signal. The record is from RNAcentral.